This 465-nucleotide ribosomal RNA is filed under the name Vreelandella stevensii. RNAcentral's name for it is "partial 16S ribosomal RNA". It matches the Rfam family "Bacterial small subunit ribosomal RNA", at positions 338 to 795 of the family's 1533-position model. Lineage: Bacteria; Pseudomonadati; Pseudomonadota; Gammaproteobacteria; Oceanospirillales; Halomonadaceae. The record is from RNAcentral.
CCUACGGGCGGCAGCAGUGGGGAAUAUUGGACAAUGGGGGGAACCCUGAUCCAGCCAUGCCGCGUGUGUGAAGAAGGCCCUCGGGUUGUAAAGCACUUUCAGUGAGGAAGAACGCCUGGUGGUUAAUACCCAUCAGGAAAGACAUCACUCACAGAAGAAGCACCGGCUAACUCCGUGCCAGCAGCCGCGGUAAUACGGAGGGUGCGAGCGUUAAUCGGAAUUACUGGGCGUAAAGCGCGCGUGGGUGGCUUGAUAAGCCGGUUGUGAAAGCCCCGGGCUCAACCUGGGAACGGCAUCCGGAACUGUCAAGCUAGAGUGCAGGAGAGGAAGGUAGAAUUCCCGGUGUAGCGGUGAAAUGCGUAGAGAUCGGGAGGAAUACCAGUGGCGAAGGCGGCCUUCUGGACUGACACUGACACUGAGGUGCGAAAGCGUGGGUAGCAAACAGGAUUAGAUACCCUGGUAGUC